AGCGAACGCUGGCGGCAGGCUUAACACAUGCAAGUCGAGCGGGCACCUUCGGGUGUCAGCGGCAGACGGGUGAGUAAAACGUGGGAACGUACCCUUCGGUUCGGAAUAACGCUGGGAAACUAGCGCUAAUACCGGAUACGCCCUUAUGGGGAAAGGUUUACUGCCGAAGGAUCGGCCCGCGGCUGAUUAGCUAGUUGGUGGGGUAACGGCCUACCAAGGCGACGAUCAGUAGCUGGUCUGAGAGGAUGAUCAGCCACACUGGGACUGAGACACGGCCCAGACUCCUACGGGAGGCAGCAGUGGGGAAUAUUGGACAAUGGGCGCAAGCCUGAUCCAGCCAUGCCGCGUGAGUGAUGAAGGCCUUAGGGUUGUAAAGCUCUUUUGUCCGGGACGAUAAUGACGGUACCGGAAGAAUAAGCCCCGGCUAACUUCGUG
This 435-nucleotide ribosomal RNA is filed under the name uncultured bacterium. RNAcentral describes it as "partial 16S ribosomal RNA". It matches the Rfam family "Bacterial small subunit ribosomal RNA", at positions 29 to 507 of the family's 1533-position model. The record is from RNAcentral.